ACAUGCAAGUCGAGGGGUAACAGGGGGUGCUUGCACUCUGCUGACGACCGGCGCACGGGUGCGUAACGCGUAUGCAACCUACCUUCUACAGGGGGAUAGCCCAGAGAAAUUUGGAAUAAUACCCCAUACGAUCUUUACUUGGCAUCGAGUAAAGAAGAAAACUUCGGUGGUAGAAGAUGGGCAUGCGUCCUAUUAGUUAGUUGGUGAGGUAACGGCUCACCAAGACAUCGAUAGGUAGGGGCCCUGAGAGGGGGAUCCCCCACACUGGUACUGAGACACGGACCAGACUCCUACGGGAGGCAGCAGUGAGGAAUAUUGGACAAUGGAGGCAACUCUGAUCCAGCCAUGCCGCGUGCAGGAAGACUGCCCUAUGGGUUGUAAACUGCUUUUAUACAGGAAGAAACUGCGCUACGUGUAGCGUACUGACGGUACUGUAAGAAUAAGGAUCGG
This 450-nucleotide ribosomal RNA is filed under the name uncultured bacterium. RNAcentral describes it as "bacterial SSU rRNA". It matches the Rfam family "Bacterial small subunit ribosomal RNA", at positions 53 to 496 of the family's 1533-position model. The record is from RNAcentral.